GCACGGGCGCGGGCAACCGCCGCGGGGGUUUCCCCGGGGAGGAAAGUCCGGGCUCCACAGGGCAGGAUGCUGGAUAACAUCCAGGCGGGGCGACCCGACGGAAAGUGCCACAGAGAAUAGACCGCCUACCGGAGAGAUCCGGCGGGUAAGGGUGAAACGGUGAGGUAAGAGCUCACCAGCGGCCCGGGCAACCGGGCCGGCUUGGUAAACCCCAUCCGGAGCAAGGCCAAAUAGGGGGACGUUUGAGGACUGCCCGUCCAAAGUUCCCGGGUAGGCUGCUUGAGGCCGGCGGUGACGCCGGACCCAGAGGAAUGGUUGCCGCCCCGAAAGGGGUACAGGACCCGGCUUACAGCGCCCGUGCACCU
This 365-nucleotide RNase P RNA is filed under the name Deltaproteobacteria bacterium. Its description in RNAcentral is "RNase P RNA component class A". It matches the Rfam family "Bacterial RNase P class A". From Rfam's summary of the family: Ribonuclease P (RNase P) is a ubiquitous endoribonuclease, found in archaea, bacteria and eukarya as well as chloroplasts and mitochondria. Its best characterised activity is the generation of mature 5'-ends of tRNAs by cleaving the 5'-leader elements of precursor-tRNAs. Lineage: Bacteria; Pseudomonadati; Myxococcota; Myxococcia. The record is from RNAcentral.